This 102-nucleotide Y RNA is filed under the name Saimiri boliviensis boliviensis (Bolivian squirrel monkey). RNAcentral's name for it is "Y RNA (ENSSBOG00000004079.1)". It matches the Rfam family "Y RNA". From Rfam's summary of the family: Y RNAs are components of the Ro ribonucleoprotein particle (Ro RNP), in association with Ro60 and La proteins. The Y RNAs and Ro60 and La proteins are well conserved, but the function of the Ro RNP is not known. Lineage: Eukaryota; Metazoa; Chordata; Mammalia; Primates; Cebidae. The record is from Rfam by way of RNAcentral.
GACUGGUCCAAGUGCAGCGGUGUUUACAACUAACUGAUUGCAUCCAGUUACAGAUUUCUUUGUUCCUUCUCCACUCCUACUGCUUCCCUUGACUAGCCUAAA